CUACCAGUUGUGUAAAUAUGAAUAUACAUUUAGUUCGUAAAUAAUAAUACCAGCUUUGUUCGCACUUGAGAUGUUAAUGAAUUACAGCACAUAAAUAACAACAUUUGAGUGUUAACUGUGGAUGCUUUGCCUUUUGCUUUUCACAAUGUAACGCAGUCCCCACAAUAAUGACAAUCAACCAUCCACAAUGUGUACCAAUUUACUUCUGCCAGGUGUGAAUCUACUAUAUAUUUUUGAUUAUGUCUCACAGUAUAUGAUCACACAUUUUGUGACUUUUUUUCUAAGUUAACAUACAAUAAUGUUUAUGUUCAACCAAAUAGAAAAAUGAUUUUGAGCAAAGAGAGGGAUGCGGCACGGGUGGCAUUUGAGGAGGCUCUUCGAGAAAGCUAUCGCACAGCAUUACAAUUUCAACAUGAUCAGAAGGAGCGAGCUGCAAAGUGACAGUCACCUGCUCCUGCCACUAGCCUUGCCCCUGUCCAAUGGAUAGAGAGGGACAGCAGAGCCAACAAAAUUCACAAAAGACCUGGACAUAAAAGCUACAAGAAGACCUCAAGACAUGUCACAGUGAAGGACAUGGACCUUACCGGAACAGGUGACCAUAUUGCAGCUAAUGGCG
This is a long non-coding RNA of Oncorhynchus tshawytscha (Chinook salmon), 616 nucleotides long. NCBI's taxonomy places the organism in Eukaryota, Metazoa, Chordata, Actinopteri, Salmoniformes, Salmonidae. The record is from Ensembl.